CUUCAGCGACCCCAGCCACAACGGGUCACCUUCCGGGCGCCCCUGCCCGUACAUCGCGAGCAGCGCCUGCGCCUC
RNAcentral lists this antisense RNA (75 nucleotides) under Streptomyces sp. ScaeMP-e83. RNAcentral describes it as "ASpks TB sRNA". It matches the Rfam family "ASpks TB sRNA". Lineage: Bacteria; Bacillati; Actinomycetota; Actinomycetes; Kitasatosporales; Streptomycetaceae. The record is from RNAcentral.